Passer domesticus (house sparrow) is the source of this 1004-nucleotide long non-coding RNA. RefSeq lists it as uncharacterized. The record is from RefSeq and is a predicted model, not a curated record. NCBI's taxonomy places the organism in Eukaryota, Metazoa, Chordata, Aves, Passeriformes, Passeridae. The transcript is spliced from 2 exons.
CAUCUUGCCGGAAGUGACGGCGCGGCGGCAGGGCCCGCCCUGCCCGGCGCGCGAAGGGAGCGCUGAGGGAGCGCUGGGGACCCGCCUUCGUCCUGCCAGAACUGCGCCAGGAGCUGGGGAAACUGCGCCGUGUGCCCGCCUUCGUCCUGCCAGAACUGCGCCCGGAGCUGGGAAAGCCGCGCCGUGUGCCCGCCUUCGUCCUGCCAGAACUGCGCCCGGAGCUGGGAAAGCCGCGCCGUGUGCCCGCCUUCGUCCUGCCAGAACUGCGCCAGGAGCUGGGAAAGCUGCGCCGUGUGCCCGCCUUCGUCCUGCCAGAACUGCGCCAGGAGCUGGGAAAGCUGCGCCGUGUGCCCUGUGACACGCGCGGGGCAGCGCUGAAAGCCUGUGGCUCUGAGUUGGAGAACAAUUAGACACCUUUUAGCGAUGUUUGGGGUCAGCACUGCAGCAGACUCUGACUUUCCCCCUCCCCAGAGACCAAUCUGGUAACCCACAGUUCCAGAAUGAUGAACAAGUAGCUGAAAUUUGGAAGGUGCUGGAACAAAAACGUUCUUGGUUGUGAACAGGUGGGCAGUAUCUAGAUACUAUGCAACUGAGACAGCAUCAACUUUGGUACAAGCUUGAAGAAGGAAAUAUAGAUUUAGUAAUUUAGUAUUAUUUCUACAAGAAAAGUAGUUGUUUUCUGCUUUCUUCAACUUUAUAAAAUGCUACUUUUCAUUUGGAAAAGGAGCAAAAGAAACUUUAGAUUGUAGGGAUUUUUUGGGGGGUAGAUGGGAACUGCCUUUACAGUUUCUCUGCUCAGGAAUAUUGAGGAGGAGGGGAAGAAGAAACAAGCUACACAUAGAAUGUAAAUCACCCCCAAAAUAACAAGAAAAAAUUGUAUGAGUAUUUGGAAUUUAAUUGAAUAAAUUUUAUUUCUUUUAGGGAAAAAAAACUCAUUUCUUAUCCGCAUGAUGCACCUUUGUAAUAAUUUUAUUUUCCUUAAAAUAAAAAUUCCCUUAAAAUUC